RNAcentral lists this ribosomal RNA (744 nucleotides) under uncultured bacterium. RNAcentral's name for it is "bacterial SSU rRNA". It matches the Rfam family "Bacterial small subunit ribosomal RNA", at positions 8 to 746 of the family's 1533-position model. The record is from RNAcentral.
AGAGUUUGAUCAUGGCUCAGAUUGAACGCUGGCGGCAGGCCUAACACAUGCAAGUCGAGCGCGAAAGUACUUCGGUAUGAGUAGAGCGGCGGACGGGUGAGUAACGCGUAGGAAUCUACCCAGUAGUGGGGGACAACUUGGGGAAACCCAAGCUAAUACCGCAUACGCCCUAUGGGGGAAAGCGGGGGAUCUCUUCGGAGACCUCGUGCUAUUGGAUGAGCCUGCGUUGGAUUAGCUAGUUGGUGGGGUAAAGGCCCACCAAGGCGACGAUCCAUAGCUGGUCUGAGAGGAUGAUCAGCCACACUGGGACUGAGACACGGCCCAGACUCCUACGGGAGGCAGCAGUGGGGAAUAUUGCGCAAUGGGGGCAACCCUGACGCAGCCAUGCCGCGUGUGUGAAGAAGGCCUUCGGGUUGUAAAGCACUUUCACUUGGGAAGAAAAGUUUGGUGUUAAUAGCGCCAAGCCGUGACAUUACCUUGAGAAGAAGGACCGGCUAACUCCGUGCCAGCAGCCGCGGUAAUACGGAGGGUCCGAGCGUUAAUCGGAAUUACUGGGCGUAAAGCGCGCGUAGGUGGUUUGUUAAGUCGGAUGUGAAAUCCCCGGGCUCAACCUGGGAAUUGCCUUCGAUACUGGCCGACUGGAGUGCGAGAGAGGGAGGUAGAAUUCCACGUGUAGCGGUGAAAUGCGGAGAUAUGUGGAGGAAUACCGGUGGCGAAGGCGGCCUCCUGGCUCGACACUGACGC